This 311-nucleotide ribosomal RNA is filed under the name uncultured bacterium. Its description in RNAcentral is "bacterial SSU rRNA". It matches the Rfam family "Bacterial small subunit ribosomal RNA", at positions 202 to 507 of the family's 1533-position model. The record is from RNAcentral.
GCAAGACCUCGCGCGAUUGGAGCGGCCGAUAUCAGAUUAGGUAGUUGGUGAGGUAAAGGCUCACCAAGCCGACGAUCUGUAGCUGGUCUGAGAGGACGACCAGCCACACUGGGACUGAGACACGGGCCCAGACUCCUACGGGAGGCAGCAGUGGGGAAUUUUGGACAAUGGGCGCAAGCCUGAUCCAGCAAUGCCGCGUGCAGGAUGAAGGCCUUCGGGUUGUAAACUGCUUUUGUACGGAACGAAACGGUGAGCUCUAAUACAGUUUGCUAAUGACGGUACCGUAAGAAUAAGCACCGGCUAACUACGUG